UCUGCAACUCGACUGCGUGAAGGUGGAGUCGCUAGUAAUCGCGGAUCGGCAACGCCGCGGUGAACGCGUUCCCGGGCCUUGUACACACCGCCCGUCAAGUCAUGAAAGUGGGCAGCACCCGAAGACGGUGGCCUAACCCUUGUGGGGGGAGCCGUCUAAGGUGAGGCUCGUGAUUGGGACUAAGUCGUAACAAGGUACC
This 199-nucleotide ribosomal RNA is filed under the name uncultured bacterium. Its description in RNAcentral is "partial 16S ribosomal RNA". It matches the Rfam family "Bacterial small subunit ribosomal RNA", at positions 1304 to 1500 of the family's 1533-position model. The record is from RNAcentral.